UUAUGGCUCAGGAUGAACGCUAGCGGCAGGCUUAACACAUGCAAGUCGAGGGGCAUCGGGAGUAGCAAUACUUGCCGGCGACCGGCGCAAGGGUGCGUAACGCGUGAGCAACAUGCCCGUAUCAGGGGGAUAAUCCAUGGAAACGUGGUCUAAUACCCCAUAGUAAUUAUGUAAGGCAUCUUAUAUAAUUUAAAGCUUUGGUGGAUACGGAUUGGCUCGCGUGACAUUAGCUGGAUGGUAAGGUAACGGCUUACCAUGGCUACGAUGUCUAGGGGUUCUGAGAGGAAGGUCCCCCACACUGGAACUGAGACACGGUCCAGACUCCUACGGGAGGCAGCAGUGAGGAAUAUUGGACAAUGGAUGGAAAUCUGAUCCAGCCAUGCCGCGUGCAGGGAAAAGACGGCCCUAUGGGUUGUAAACUGCUUUUGUAUGGGAGCAAUAAGGGCUACGUGUAGUCCGAUGAGAGUACCAUACGAAUAAGCACCGGCUAACUCCGUGCCAGCAGCGGC
This 509-nucleotide ribosomal RNA is filed under the name uncultured bacterium. Its description in RNAcentral is "bacterial SSU rRNA". It matches the Rfam family "Bacterial small subunit ribosomal RNA", at positions 17 to 518 of the family's 1533-position model. The record is from RNAcentral.